This 608-nucleotide ribosomal RNA is filed under the name Zygaena lavandulae consobrina. RNAcentral describes it as "partial 12S ribosomal RNA". The record is from RNAcentral. Lineage: Eukaryota; Metazoa; Arthropoda; Insecta; Lepidoptera; Zygaenidae.
UGCGGUUAUACAAAAAUUAAAUUAAAUUUUUUUAGGGUUUAAUAAAUAAAUGAUUUAAUUAAAUAAUGUAAAUUUUAAAUUAUAAAGUGAAAUUUUAAUUUAAUUAAAAUUUAUUUAUAUUUAUAUGAUAUUAAUAAAUUUUAUAAAAAACUAGGAUUAGAUACCCUAUUAUUAAAAUUUAAAUUUAAUAAUCUUAAAAUAGUAUAUAAAUUUUAUAGAAACUUAAAUAAUUUGGCGGUAUUUUAGUUCAUUUAGAGGAAUCUGUUUAAUAAUUGAUAAUCCACGAAUAAAUUUACUUAAUUUUUAAUUUUGUAUAUCGUUGUUAAAAAAAUAUUUUUUAAUAAUUAUAAUAUUUUAAAAUUUAAAUAAAAAUUUAAAUCAGAUCAAGAUGCAGAUUAUAAUUAAGAAUAUAAUGGAUUACAAUAAAUUUUAUUUUAUUUGGAUAUUAAUUUGUAAUAAAUUAAUUGAAAUUGGAUUUAAAUGUAAUUUUAUUAAUUUUAUUAAAAUGAUUUUAAAUUAAAAUAUGUACAUAUUGCCCGUCGCUUUCAUUUAUAAAUUGAAAUAAGUCGUAACAAAGUAGAGGUACUGGAAAGUGUUUCUAGAAAGAU